RNAcentral lists this ribosomal RNA (447 nucleotides) under uncultured bacterium. Its description in RNAcentral is "bacterial SSU rRNA". It matches the Rfam family "Bacterial small subunit ribosomal RNA", at positions 355 to 825 of the family's 1533-position model. The record is from RNAcentral.
UCGGGAAUUUUGGGCAAUGGGCGAAAGCCUGACCCAGCAACGCCGCGUGAAGGAUGAAGUAUUUCGGUAUGUAAACUUCGAAAGAAUAGGAAGAAUAAAUGACGGUACUAUUUAUAAGGUCCGGCUAACUACGUGCCAGCAGCCGCGGUAAUACGUAGGGACCAAGCGUUGUUCGGAUUUACUGGGCGUAAAGGGUGCGUAGGCGGCAAUUCAAGUCAUCUGUGAAAUCUCCGGGCUUAACUCGGAACGGUCAGAUGAUACUGCUUUGCUAGAGUGCAGAAGGGGCAAUCGGAAUUCUUGGUGUAGCGGUGAAAUGCGUAGAUAUCAAGAGGAACACCUGAGGUGAAGACGGGUUGCUGGGCUGACACUGACGCUGAGGCGCGAAAGCCAGGGGAGCAAACGGGAUUAGAUACCCAAGUAGUCCCUGAGCGGGCUGGCAAGGCGCAU